AAAUACGGGGCAUCUGUAACGUUGAGACGGGCUGUAUCCACUGUCAUUCAAAGAAUAACUUCCGUGCCUUUUACGUUCACCCCGCCGUGUUAAAUAGCUGCGGCGGGAUUGUGCGAGAAUUGCGAAGUCUGAAUGUCGACCUGAAGACCAGCUGCCCUGACCGAGGUGCCUCAAAUGGGCCGCGCGAUAUCUCCAAGCCAUGACAAUGGACCCGCCGUCACUAAAUAACACAGACUGCAGUCUCAUUCGAAAGCGAACAGUGACGAGUGGCAGCCGGCAGCACAAGAGCCCAGCACAGAUGACAAAGGAUAGAAGGUGACGCUGGUUCACGCAGCAGACAGUCGCGAUGGUGCGGACCGUACGGACGGUGGUGCUGGUGGUGAUGCUCCUGGUGCUGGCGGUGCACGCAGCACCCUGGCUCAACUGGUUCACGCAGGGCACCAACAGGCACAGGCUGGGAGGCCCUGGGCGCUCUGGCAGGGAUCGGUUCCGGUCCAUCUGCCGAACCAUCAACCCGGACAACUACGCGUUUCCCGGAAGAGCUCCCUAUCCUUCCGCACCGCUCUGCCCCUACUAGCGUCCGGAGUUUUCAGACAAAGAAUCUAUCAGAGCAUCAGAAGUGUGGUGAAUGUGGAAUUCAAAAGUGUUGGACCUUGAACAAAGUGACAGAUGCAAGCAGAGGUGUCCCAGACAGGGAAACAGGGCUCCUCGAGCUACAGCAGAACUCAACUCACCUGAUGCUCUCAGUGUUCUGGAUGGUAUAUUUGCACCAACAACAGUUUGUGAGAUGUAUAGUGAAACUCAUCCAUGCUGACCACUUUGUAUUUCCAUUCAAAUGCUGUAUAAAAUUCAUUUCUUGGAUAUAAACAUAACUUCAAAGCCUUUAUAUAACUCUGUGAGGUUUGAGGUUCUUGAAA
RNA transcript from Cryptotermes secundus, 917 nucleotides. RefSeq lists it as uncharacterized. The record is from RefSeq and is a predicted model, not a curated record. NCBI's taxonomy places the organism in Eukaryota, Metazoa, Arthropoda, Insecta, Blattodea, Kalotermitidae. The transcript is spliced from 3 exons.